GACGAACGCUGGCGGCGUGCCUAAUACAUGCAAGUAGAACGCACAGUUUAUGCCGUAGCUUGCUACACCAUAGACUGUGAGUUGCGAACGGGUGAGUAACGCGUAGGUAACCUGCCUGGUAGCGGGGGAUAACUAUUGGAAACGAUAGCUAAUACCGCAUAAUAUUAAUUAUUGCAUGAUAAUUAAUUGAAAGGUGCAAUUGCACCACUACCAGAUGGACCUGCGUUGUAUUAGCUAGUAGGUGAGGUAACGGCUCACCUAGGCGACGAUACAUAGCCGACCUGAGAGGGUGAUCGGCCACACUGGGACUGAGACACGGCCCAGACUCCUACGGGAGGCAGCAGUAGGGAAUCUUCGGCAAUGGACGAAAGUCUGACCGAGCAACGCCGCGUGAGUGAAGAAGGUUUUCGGAUCGUAAAGCUCUGUUGUAAGAGAAGAACGGGUGUGAGAGUGGAAAGUUCACACUGUGACGGUAGCUUACCAGAAAGGGACGGCUAACUACGUG
This 505-nucleotide ribosomal RNA is filed under the name uncultured bacterium. RNAcentral's name for it is "partial 16S ribosomal RNA". It matches the Rfam family "Bacterial small subunit ribosomal RNA", at positions 28 to 507 of the family's 1533-position model. The record is from RNAcentral.